UAAGUUAGAAAGGGCGCACGGUGGAUGCCUUGACACUAGGAGUCGAUGAAGGACGGGACUAACGCCGAUAUGCUUCGGGGAGCUGUAAGUAAGCUUUGAUCCGAAGAUUUCCGAAUGGGGAAACCCACCAUACGUAAUGGUAUGGUAUCCUUAUCUGAAUACAUAGGAUAAGGAAGACAGACCCAGGGAACUGAAACAUCUAAGUACCUGGAGGAAGAGAAAGCAAAUGCGAUUUCCUGAGUAGCGGCGAGCGAAACGGAACAUAGCCCAAACCAAGAGGCUUGCCUCUUGGGGUUGUAGGACAUUCUAUACGGAGUUACAAAGGAACGAGGUAGACGAAGCGACCUGGAAAGGUCCGUCGUAGAGGGUAACAACCCCGUAGUCGAAACUUCGUUCUCUCUUGAAUGUAUCCUGAGUACGGCGGAACACGUGAAAUUCCGUCGGAAUCUGGGAGGACCAUCUCCCAAGGCUAAAUACUCCCUAGUGAUCGAUAGUGAACCAGUACCGUGAGGGAAAGGUGAAAAGCACCCCGGAAGGGGAGUGAAAGAGAUCCUGAAACCGUGUGCCUACAAAUAGUCAGAGCCCGUUAAUGGGUGAUGGCGUGCCUUUUGUAGAAUGAACCGGCGAGUUACGAUCCCGUGCGAGGUUAAGCUGAAGAGGCGGAGCCGCAGCGAAAGCGAGUCUGAAUAGGGCGUUUAGUACGUGGUCGUAGACCCGAAACCAGGUGAUCUACCCAUGUCCAGGGUGAAGUUCAGGUAACACUGAAUGGAGGCCCGAACCCACGCACGUUGAAAAGUGCGGGGAUGAGGUGUGGGUAGCGGAGAAAUUCCAAUCGAACCUGGAGAUAGCUGGUUCUCCCCGAAAUAGCUUUAGGGCUAGCCUUAAGUGUAAGAGUCUUGGAGGUAGAGCACUGAUUGGACUAGGGGUCCUCAUCGGAUUACCGAAUUCAGUCAAACUCCGAAUGCCAAUGACUUAUCCUUAGGAGUCAGACUGCGAGUGAUAAGAUCCGUAGUCAAAAGGGAAACAGCCCAGACCGCCAGCUAAGGUCCCAAAGUGUGUAUUAAGUGGAAAAGGAUGUGGAGUUGCUUAGACAACUAGGAUGUUGGCUUAGAAGCAGCCACCAUUUAAAGAGUGCGUAAUAGCUCACUAGUCGAGUGACUCUGCGCCGAAAAUGUACCGGGGCUAAAUACACCACCGAAGCUGCGGAUUGAUACCAAUGGUAUCAGUGGUAGGGGAGCGUUCUAAGGACAGUGAAGUCAGACCGGAAGGACUGGUGGAGUGCUUAGAAGUGAGAAUGCCGGUAUGAGUAGCGAAAGACGGGUGAGAAUCCCGUCCACCGAAUGCCUAAGGUUUCCUGAGGAAGGCUCGUCCGCUCAGGGUUAGUCAGGACCUAAGCCGAGGCCGACAGGCGUAGGCGAUGGACAACAGGUUGAUAUUCCUGUACCACCUCUUUAUCGUUUGAGCAAUGGAGGGACGCAGAAGGAUAGAAGAAGCGUGCGAUUGGUUGUGCACGUCCAAGCAGUUAGGCUGAUAAGUAGGCAAAUCCGCUUAUCGUGAAGGCUGAGCUGUGAUGGGGAAGCUCCUUAUGGAGCGAAGUCUUUGAUUCCCCGCUGCCAAGAAAAGCUUCUAGCGAGAUAAAAGGUGCCUGUACCGCAAACCGACACAGGUAGGCGAGGAGAGAAUCCUAAGGUGUGCGAGAGAACUCUGGUUAAGGAACUCGGCAAAAUGACCCCGUAACUUCGGGAGAAGGGGUGCUUUCUUAACGGAAAGCCGCAGUGAAUAGGCCCAAGCGACUGUUUAGCAAAAACACAGCUCUCUGCGAAGCCGUAAGGCGAAGUAUAGGGGGUGACACCUGCCCGGUGCUGGAAGGUUAAGGAGAGGGGUUAGCGUAAGCGAAGCUCUGAACUGAAGCCCCAGUAAACGGCGGCCGUAACUAUAACGGUCCUAAGGUAGCGAAAUUCCUUGUCGGGUAAGUUCCGACCCGCACGAAAGGUGUAACGAUUUGGGCACUGUCUCAACCAGAGACUCGGUGAAAUUAUAGUACCUGUGAAGAUGCAGGUUACCCGCGACAGGACGGAAAGACCCCGUGGAGCUUUACUGUAGCCUGAUAUUGAAUUUUGGUACAGUUUGUACAGGAUAGGCGGGAGCCUUUGAAACCGGAGCGCUAGCUUCGGUGGAGGCGCUGGUGGGAUACCGCCCUGACUGUAUUGAAAUUCUAACCUACGGGUCUUAUCGACCCGGGAGACAGUGUCAGGUGGGCAGUUUGACUGGGGCGGUCGCCUCCUAAAGUGUAACGGAGGCGCCCAAAGGUUCCCUCAGAAUGGUUGGAAAUCAUUCGUAGAGUGCAAAGGCAUAAGGGAGCUUGACUGCGAGACCUACAAGUCGAGCAGGGACGAAAGUCGGGCUUAGUGAUCCGGUGGUUCCGCAUGGAAGGGCCAUCGCUCAACGGAUAAAAGCUACCCCGGGGAUAACAGGCUUAUCUCCCCCAAGAGUCCACAUCGACGGGGAGGUUUGGCACCUCGAUGUCGGCUCAUCGCAUCCUGGGGCUGUAGUCGGUCCCAAGGGUUGGGCUGUUCGCCCAUUAAAGCGGUACGCGAGCUGGGUUCAGAACGUCGUGAGACAGUUCGGUCCCUAUCCGUCGUGGGCGUAGGAAAUUUGAGAGGAGCUGUCCUUAGUACGAGAGGACCGGGAUGGACGCACCGCUGGUGUACCAGUUGUUCUGCCAAGGGCAUAGCUGGGUAGCUAUGUGCGGAAGGGAUAAGUGCUGAAAGCAUCUAAGCAUGAAGCCCCCCUCAAGAUGAGAUUUCCCAUAGCGUAAGCUAGUAAGAUCCCUGAAAGAUGAUCAGGUUGAUAGGUUCGAGGUGGAAGCAUGGUGACAUGUGGAGCUGACGAAUACUAAUAGAUCGAGGACUUAACCA
RNAcentral lists this ribosomal RNA (2918 nucleotides) under Bacillus anthracis (anthrax bacterium). RNAcentral's name for it is "bacterial LSU rRNA". It matches the Rfam family "Bacterial large subunit ribosomal RNA". The record is from RNAcentral. Lineage: Bacteria; Bacillati; Bacillota; Bacilli; Caryophanales; Bacillaceae.